This 110-nucleotide transfer RNA is filed under the name Bacteroidota bacterium. RNAcentral describes it as "Bacteroidetes bacterium (grounwater metagenome) tRNA-OTHER". It matches the Rfam family "tRNA". From Rfam's summary of the family: Transfer RNA (tRNA) molecules are approximately 80 nucleotides in length. Their secondary structure includes four short double-helical elements and three loops (D, anti-codon, and T loops). Lineage: Bacteria; Pseudomonadati; Bacteroidota. The record is from RNAcentral.
GGGGAAGUAGCUCAGCGAUACACACAAACAAUGGUUCUUGCAGUGUAAUUAGUGUCAAAGGUUAGAGCGCCAAUUUUGGAAGGUCAGCGGUUCGAAUCCGUUCUUCUCCA